Long non-coding RNA from Oncorhynchus tshawytscha (Chinook salmon), 960 nucleotides. Lineage: Eukaryota; Metazoa; Chordata; Actinopteri; Salmoniformes; Salmonidae. The record is from Ensembl.
CUGUCACAGUCAUCAUAUGGAGGAGACCAAGCCAAGUCCCCUCCAGUUCCCUGAAUAAGAGGUGAUGACUACUCCACUCCACUACCUUUGUUAACUUUCUCCUGACAUGAACUGAAGCCACUUCUCAUGUGCCCGCUAAUCCACUGGCACAUUGAAUGUUUACCCUCCAUGCACUUCAAAUCCUGUCCUGCACUGGUCAAGCCACUGAACACCUCAACUCAUUCCUCAUACCCUCAUUCAAUCACUGCGUGAUCUCUUUCCCACACGGUGGUAUCUGCCGGUUCUGGCUCCAUGGCAUCAGUCAGACCGAGGCUCCUGCGGUGGACAAUUGGUUCCUGCGUGCGGAGGAAAUCUGGGAGGCCGCCCACGUCCACCUUCAGCGCGCCAUACUGUGCCAGAAAGUUAGCGCAGACCGUCACCGCAGUGAAGCCCCGGUGUUCGCACCAGGGGACAGGGUCUGGCUCUCGACCCGAAACCUGCCCCUCCGCCUGCCCUGCCGGGAGCUGGGUACGCGGUUUGUGGGGCCGUUUAAAGUCCUGAGGAGAGUGAACGAGGACCUGAGCCCUAGGACCAUGCCUCAGGACUACCUGACAUGAUGGCUCCUUGCUGGUCCCAGUCCACCUGGUCGUGCUGCUGCUCCAGUUUCAACUGUUCUGCCUUAUUAUUAUUGGACCAUGCUGGUAAUUUAUGAACAGGAAGCAUCUUGGCCAUGUUCUGUUAUAAUCUCCACCCAGCACAGCCAGAAGAGGACUGGCCACCCCACAUAGCCUGGUUCCUCUCUAGGUUUCUUCCUGUUUGGGGUUUUAGGCUGGGUUUCUGUACAGCACUUUGAGAUAUCAGCUGAUGUACGAAGGGCUAUAUAAAUAAAUUUGAUUUGAUUUGAUGGACCAACACACAUGGGUAAGAUUAUUUACUUCAGAAAUAGAGUGCAUCCCAAAGGGCUCAGGUCAAAAGUAGUGC